Molecule: long non-coding RNA, 726 nt
Organism: Mobula hypostoma (lesser devil ray)
Lineage: Eukaryota; Metazoa; Chordata; Chondrichthyes; Myliobatiformes; Myliobatidae
Exons: 5
Source: RefSeq, a predicted model, not a curated record
GGCAAAAGGCAAAUUGCGGUGGGUCCAGGUUAUUGUUGAAACAGAAGUUAAUUCUAGCCAUUACCAACCUCUCAAGGCAGUUCAUCACCAUAGAUGUAGCCACAAAACAAAAAACCUGAAAGCACCCAAUUAAAGUUCAUCAUAUUAACGAGCACAGAGUACAGCAUCUGGGGCAGUCUUCUCAGCCUCGGAUCAAUGGAAAGAGGAGUGACCAUCACGGACAGCGAUCAAAAUUGGCUCUCGCCUCGGAUCCCGACCUCCCUGUCCUUUCAGUCUAUCCACGCUUCCUUAAUAUUUCAGCUAAAUCAAAAAAAGCACACAACCAGCAUCUGGAUGACCUCUCUGACCUUUCAAAUGUGCUUUAUUGGACGUGGGAUUUAAGAUCACAUUGCAGAAGUGUAAAGAUAACCAUGACUGAAAAUUGUACUGAAGAUGUCGCAAGCGAGGCACACUACUGCAGAGCUAAGCUUGUAUCUUAUAUUCAAAAUUUGUCAUGCAUAAAUUGCCAGAGCCAUCCAGUCUUCUAUCCCAACAAUAUUUUAAUUCCUACACUGUGAGCUUUUAUCUUCUGCAAUAAUCUUCAUUGAAAAGGGAGGUCAAGCUUCGUUAAAAGAUGAAUUAAGUGUCCAAGCACGGGACCUCCUCAGAGCCAUCUGCUGGCUAUCUGGAGAAGAAGAAUGUCAGAGUUGUAUACAGCAUACAUACUUUGAUAAUAAAUGAACCUUU